This 253-nucleotide ribosomal RNA is filed under the name uncultured bacterium. RNAcentral describes it as "partial 16S ribosomal RNA". It matches the Rfam family "Bacterial small subunit ribosomal RNA", at positions 524 to 776 of the family's 1533-position model. The record is from RNAcentral.
UACGUAGGGGGCGAGCGUUGUCCGGAAUUAUUGGGCGUAAAGAGCGUGUAGGCGGUUCGGUAAGUCCGCCGUGAAAACCUGGGGCUCAACCCUGGGCGUGCGGUGGAUACUGCCGGGCUAGAGGGUGGUAGAGGCGAGUGGAAUUCCCGGUGUAGCGGUGAAAUGCGCAGAUAUCAGGAAGAACACCGACGGCGAAGGCAGCUCGCUGGGACGGUACUGACGCUGAGGCGCGAAAGCGUGGGGAGCGAACAGG